This 737-nucleotide ribosomal RNA is filed under the name uncultured Arthrobacter sp. Its description in RNAcentral is "bacterial SSU rRNA". It matches the Rfam family "Bacterial small subunit ribosomal RNA", at positions 57 to 774 of the family's 1533-position model. The record is from RNAcentral. Lineage: Bacteria; Bacillati; Actinomycetota; Actinomycetes; Micrococcales; Micrococcaceae.
GCAGUCGAGCGGAAUGAUGAAGAAGCUUGCUUCUUCUGAUUUUAGCGGCGGACGGGUGAGUAACACGUGGGCAACCUACCUUGUAGAUUGGGAUAACUCCGGGAAACCGGGGCUAAUACCGAAUAAUCCAUUUUGCUUCAUGGCAAGAUGUUGAAAGGCGGCUUCGGCUGUCACUACGAGAUGGGCCCGCGGCGUAUUAGCUAGUUGGUAGGGUAAUGGCCUACCAAGGCGACGAUACGUAGCCGACCUGAGAGGGUGAUCGGCCACACUGGGACUGAGACACGGCCCAGACUCCUACGGGAGGCAGCAGUAGGGAAUCUUCCACAAUGGACGAAAGUCUGAUGGAGCAACGCCGCGUGAGUGAAGAAGGUUUUCGGAUCGUAAAACUCUGUUGUAAGGGAAGAACACGUACGAGAGUAACUGCUCGUACCUUGACGGUACCUUAUUAGAAAGCCACGGCUAACUACGUGCCAGCAGCCGCGGUAAUACGUAGGUGGCAAGCGUUGUCCGGAAUUAUUGGGCGUAAAGCGCGCGCAGGCGGUUUUUUAAGUCUGAUGUGAAAGCCCACGGCUCAACCGUGGAGGGUCAUUGGAAACUGGAGAACUUGAGUACAGAAGAGGAAAGCGGAAUUCCACGUGUAGCGGUGAAAUGCGUAGAGAUGUGGAGGAACACCAGUGGCGAAGGCGGCUUUCUGGUCUGUAACUGACGCUGAGGCGCGAAAGCGUGGGGAGCAAACA